AAUUAAACUUCUAGAAAUAAAUCGUCCGCGAUAUAUUUCGGGGUGGAUAGUGCGUGAAUGACGACGUUGGCGAGUUUUACGUGGAAGUUUGUGCGAGAAGAGUACGUAAACCGUCGUUGAAUGCAUGCACUCUAAAGAAAGAAAGAGAGAGAGAGAGAGAGAGAGAGAGAGAGAGAAGGAGAGAGUGCUGCCCGUUCGAAGUACUUCGUUCUUGCAGCUACCCCGGUAUUUUAGUAGUUCGCCGAAACGAAGAGCUAUUUUCACCUCAAGAUCGCACACGCCGCACGAUAGCUUGUUGCAGAGAAGCACGGUUUACGGAUAUUGCAAUAUGAAGAGAGAAUGAGGUCGACCACUCGGUGAAAUAGGUUAGAGAAGAUGGAUACCGACUGACUACAGCAUCCAUGAUCCAUGUCGGUUCGACCAAGUUAGUUCUUUUCAUUGCGAAACAAGUUUUAUGAGAGCACACGACUCGAGAUAAAGAGUACAUAAUACGAACGGAAGACUACGUAAUUCGUUGCUCUGAAAAAUAUAGCGGUCUUCAAUGAGUGUGCACGAAGAAGAAGGGUUGAAGAGAGGGGAUGUGCUUCGUCCUCGUUCAGUGAUCGUAACACGAGGAUGGUAGAGGAGUUUCACGAUGGCGAGGACCGCAAUGCAGCGAUGUCGGCAUUUUAAUUGAAAGCGUCACCGUACGAAACGAGGAGCGUGAUUCUCCUAUCUUUCGGGAUCUCUGAUAUCAGUUCACCCGCGAAACAUUUCGAUCGGAACGUUUAAUAAGGCAAUGCGAUUAAAUCAAAAAAAGAAAAAAGAGAGAGAAGAAAAGGAUAAAAGAAAAAGAAAAA
Long non-coding RNA from Vespula pensylvanica (western yellowjacket), 839 nucleotides. RefSeq lists it as uncharacterized. The record is from RefSeq and is a predicted model, not a curated record. Lineage: Eukaryota; Metazoa; Arthropoda; Insecta; Hymenoptera; Vespidae. The transcript is spliced from 3 exons.